AGAGAGUUAAAUAGUACGUGAAAUCGCUUAGAGGUAAACGAGUGAAGCCGAAGAUGUUUUAUGGAAUUCAGUUAACUGUGUGUCUUCUUGAAUUUGGCGAAAUCCAACUAGGAAUUGCUAUUUUUGAGUUUUCAUUAUACAUGCGGUUGAUGCACUUUCUGUAUAACAGUACUGCGACCGAUAGCGUUGUUUUUCUGUCGUAAUUUUGAAGGUGAUCAUUUCUUCGGAAAUGGUUUUAUAGCUGGUUACAUGGUUAAAUGAUUUAUUGGUGAUUGCGAUUAACGGUUAUUGAUUGGUUUAAUGUUGAUGGGGCUUUAAUAGACUAUUUAUAGGCUGUUUUUGAACUAUUGAUGUUUUACAUGGUUGAUGUGUUAAUUUAAAGUCUGCAGUGUAUGUAGGUUACUUACUCGUCCCGUCUUGAAACACGGACCAAGGAGUUUUAUAUGAUCGCGAGUCAAAGGGCUUUACGAAACCCCACGGCGAAAUUAAUGUAAAGGUUUACUUCGGUAAGCUGUGAUGUGACCUCGUGGAAACACAGAGUGCAACAUCGACCCGUCUAAAGAUGUUCGCAUCUGGGCGGAGUUUGAGCGAUCAUGUAGAGACCCGAAAGAUGGUGAACUAUGCUUGUGCAGGUUGAAGCCAGAGGAAACUCUGGUGGAGGACCGCCGCGGUUCUGACGUGCAAAUCGAUCGUCGGACAUGAGUAUAGGGGCGAAAGACUAAUCGAACCAUCUAGUAGCUGGU
This 743-nucleotide ribosomal RNA is filed under the name Dugesia sagitta. Its description in RNAcentral is "partial large subunit ribosomal RNA". It matches the Rfam family "Eukaryotic large subunit ribosomal RNA", at positions 382 to 955 of the family's 3401-position model. The record is from RNAcentral. Lineage: Eukaryota; Metazoa; Platyhelminthes; Tricladida; Dugesiidae.